Molecule: ribosomal RNA, 868 nt
Filed under: Akanthomyces dipterigenus
Lineage: Eukaryota; Fungi; Ascomycota; Sordariomycetes; Hypocreales; Cordycipitaceae
Description: partial large subunit ribosomal RNA
Rfam family: Eukaryotic large subunit ribosomal RNA
Source: RNAcentral
GAAAAGAAACCAACAGGGAUUGCCCCAGUAACGGCGAGUGAAGCGGCAACAGCUCAAAUUUGAAAUCUGGCCCCCGGGUCCGAGUUGUAAUUUGUAGAGGAUGCUUUUGGCGAGGUGCCUUCCGAGUUCCCUGGAACGGGACGCCAUAGAGGGUGAGAGCCCCGUCUGGUCGGACACCGAGCCUCUGUAAAGCUCCUUCGACGAGUCGAGUAGUUUGGGAAUGCUGCUCAAAAUGGGAGGUAUAUGUCUUCUAAAGCUAAAUAUUGGCCAGAGACCGAUAGCGCACAAGUAGAGUGAUCGAAAGAUGAAAAGCACUUUGAAAAGAGGGUUAAAAAGUACGUGAAAUUGUUGAAAGGGAAGCGCCUAUGACCAGACUUGGGCCCGGUGAAUCAUCCAGCGUUCUCGCUGGUGCACUUUGCCGGGCACAGGCCAGCAUCAGUUUGGCGCGGGGGAGAAAGGCUCUGGGAAUGUGGCUCCUCCGGGAGUGUUAUAGCCCACUGCGUAAUACCCUGCGCCGGACUGAGGUACGCGCAUUGCAAGGAUGCUGGCGUAAUGGUCAUCAGCGACCCGUCUUGAAACACGGACCAAGGAGUCGUCUUCGUAUGCGAGUGUUCGGGUGUCAAACCCCUACGCGUAAUGAAAGUGAACGCAGGUGAGAGCUUCGGCGCAUCAUCGACCGAUCCUGAUGUUCUCGGAUGGAUUUGAGUAAGAGCAUACGGGGCCGGACCCGAAAGAAGGUGAACUAUGCCUGUAUAGGGUGAAGCCAGAGGAAACUCUGGUGGAGGCUCGCAGCGGUUCUGACGUGCGAAUCGAUCGUCAAAUAUGGGCAUGGGGGCGAAAGACUAAUCGAACCUUCUAGUAGCUGGUU